GUAAGGAAUAUUGGUCAAUGGACGAAAGUCUGAACCAGCCAUGCCGCGUGGAGGAUGAAGGUCCUCUGGAUUGUAAACUUCUUUUAUAUGGGACGAAAAAGGGUUUUUCUAGACCAACUGACGGUACCAUAUGAAUAAGCACCGGCUAACGCCGUGCCAGCAGCCGCGGUAAUACGGAGGGUGCAAGCGUUAUCCGGAUUCUCUGGGUUUAAAGGGUGCGUAGGUGGGAUGGGAAGUCAGUGGUGAAAUCCCCGAGCUUAACUCGGGAACUGCCAUUGAUACUAUCAGUCUUGAAUACCGUGGAGGUCAGCGGAAUAUGUCAUGUAGCGGUGAAAUGCUUAGAUAUGACAUAGAACACCAAUUGCGAAGGCAGCUGGCUACACGAAUAUUGACACUGAGGCACGAAAGCGUGGGGAUCAAA
RNAcentral lists this ribosomal RNA (421 nucleotides) under uncultured bacterium. RNAcentral describes it as "bacterial SSU rRNA". It matches the Rfam family "Bacterial small subunit ribosomal RNA", at positions 354 to 772 of the family's 1533-position model. The record is from RNAcentral.